Molecule: long non-coding RNA, 452 nt
Filed under: Cottoperca gobio
Lineage: Eukaryota; Metazoa; Chordata; Actinopteri; Perciformes; Bovichtidae
Description: lncRNA (ENSCGOG00000008623.1)
Source: RNAcentral
GCCAAAGUUAAGAAGAACAUUUUUGUUUUAGGAUACAUCACAUUUGACGAUAGCUAUUUGCUCUCAUAUGACAGAGAAGCACUGCCCACACUGAUGGUGGACCCACCAGAUUGUAACACCACUGAAUCAUCGAGGACGGAGGAGGAGGCCCACAAAAUCUGGAGCAAAUGGCGUAGACUCCCGUCAACCACCUGGAAACCCAGAGAUGGUGAAGUCUCGGAGGAUUCACUGGCACGACGGCUGUGUUCAGAACUGAACACGGUCACUGACAACGACAGUGUCCCAAUCCUCCGCAGAGAUGAAGGCUUAUCUGUCUUGAAUAGAGUGCUGACAUCCAACCUACCUGCAGAGAGAGAGCUGAGGGACUGUCAGAGCUGCAGUUCAGCCGGUUCAGUGACAACAGGAAAGAGGGCGCUGUCUGCCAUAGGGUUCACACUGCAAGUUUCCAGAGA